This 460-nucleotide ribosomal RNA is filed under the name uncultured bacterium. RNAcentral describes it as "partial 16S ribosomal RNA". It matches the Rfam family "Bacterial small subunit ribosomal RNA", at positions 338 to 795 of the family's 1533-position model. The record is from RNAcentral.
CCUACGGGAGGCAGCAGUGAGGAAUAUUGGUCAAUGGGCGCGAGUCUGAACCAGCCAAGUAGCGUGAAGGAUGACUGCCCUACGGGUUGUAAACUUCUUUUAUAAAGGAAUAAAGCGAGGCACGUGUGCCUUUUUGCAUGUACUUUAUGAAUAAGGAUCGGCUAACUCCGUGCCAGCAGCCGCGGUAAUACGGAGGAUCCGAGCGUUAUCCGGAUUUAUUGGGUUUAAAGGGAGCGUAGAUGGGUUGGUAAGUCAGUUGUGAAAGUUUGCGGCUCAACCGUAAAAUUGCAAUUGAUACUGGCAGUCGUGAGUACAGUUGAGGUAGGCGGAAUUCGUGGUGUAGCGGUGAAAUGCUUAGAUAUCACGAAGAACUCCGAUUGCGAAGGCAGCUUACUAAACUGCCACUGACAUUGAUGCUCGAAAGUGUGGGUAUCAAACAGGAUUAGAUACCCCAGUAGUC